GUGGGUACAGGUCAGUGGUAGAGCGUGUGUUUAGCAUGCACAAGGUCCUGGGUUCAAUCCCCAGUACCAUCA
RNAcentral lists this transfer RNA (72 nucleotides) under Camelus dromedarius (Arabian camel). It matches the Rfam family "tRNA". Rfam says of the family: Transfer RNA (tRNA) molecules are approximately 80 nucleotides in length. The record is from Rfam by way of RNAcentral. Lineage: Eukaryota; Metazoa; Chordata; Mammalia; Artiodactyla; Camelidae. RNAcentral also lists the same sequence under 1 other name.